AGUGAACGCUGGCGGUAGGCCUAACACAUGCAAGUCGAACGGCAGCACAGUAAGAGCUUGCUCUUACGGGUGGCGAGUGGCGGACGGGUGAGGAAUACAUCGGAAUCUACUUUUUCGUGGGGGAUAACGUAGGGAAACUUACGCUAAUACCGCUUACGACCUACGGGGGAAAGCAGGGGAUCUUCGGACUUUGCGCGAUUGAUUGAGCCGAUGUCGGAUUAGCUAGUUGGCGGGGUAAAGGCCCACCAAGGCGACGAUCCGUAGCUGGUCUGAGAGGAUGAUCAGCCACACUGGAACUGAGACACGGUCCAGACUCCUACGGGAGGCAGCAGUGGGGAAUAUUGGACAAUGGGCGCAAGCCUGAUCCAGCCAUACCGCGUGGGUGAAGAAGGCCUUCGGGUUGUAAAGCCCUUUUGUUGGGAAAGAAAAGCAGCAGGUUAAUACCCCGCUGUUCUGACGGUACCCAAAGAAUAAGCACCGGCUAACUUCGUG
Molecule: ribosomal RNA, 492 nt
Filed under: uncultured bacterium
Lineage: Bacteria
Description: partial 16S ribosomal RNA
Rfam family: Bacterial small subunit ribosomal RNA
Source: RNAcentral